GCUUAGAGGCAGCCACUCGUUCAAAGAGUGCGUAAUAGCUCACUGGUCGAGUGAUUUUGCGCGGAAAAUUUAACGGGGCUAAGCGUAUAACCGAAGCUUGGGCUUGCACGAAAGUGCAGGGGUAGGGGAGCGUCGUGUACGGGGUGAAGUCGCACCGGAAGGAGCGGUGGACUGUACACGAGUGAGAAUGCCGGAAUGAGUAGCGAGAAUUAUGUGAGAAUCAUAAUGGCCGAAAAUCUAAGGUUUCUUGGGGAAGGUUCGUCCGCCCAAGGUAAGCCGGGAGCUAAGGCGAGGCCGAGAGGCGUAGUCGAUGCACAUACGGUUGAAAUUCCGUAGCCACCUUAUCGAUAAAAGCUGACACAUGGAGAUAGCGGGACCCGGGCGUUGGUUGACCCGGGCGAAAGGGACCGAACAUAAGUAGGGAAGUCCGCGAUGCUCUGUGGCGAGAAAAGGCGAAGAUAGGGUGCCCGUACCGCAAACCGACACAGGUAGAUGAGGAGAGAAUCCUAAGGCCAACGGGAGAAGGGUUGUUAAGGAACUCGGCAAAUUGACCCCGUAACUUCGGGAUAAGGGGAGCCUCCUACGGGAGGCCGCAGUGAAUAGGCCCAAGCAACUGUUUACCAAAAACACAGGUCUCUGCUAAAUCGAAAGAUGACGUAUAGGGGCUGACGCCUGCCCGGUGCUGGAAGGUUAAGAGGAGGACUUAGCGCAAGCGAAGGUCUGAAUUUAAGCCCCAGUAAACGGCGGCCGUAACUAUAACGGUCCUAAGGUAGCGAAAUUCCUUGUCAGGUAAGUUCUGACCCGCACGAAUGGCGUAAUGAUUUGGGCACUGUCUCAACAGCCCGCCCGGCGAAAUUGUAGUACUGGUGAAGAUGCCAGUUACCCGCAACUAGACGGAAAGACCCCAUGGAGCUUUACUGCAGCUUAAUACUGAGAUUCGGUAAUUCAUGUACAGGAUAGGUGGGAGACUUAGAAGCAGAGUCGUUAGGCGCUGUGGAGUCACCCUUGGGAUACCACCCUUGGAUUGCUGGGUUUCUAACCUGCGGCCAUGAAUCUGGUCGGGGGACACUGUUAGGCGGGCAGUUUGACUGGGGCGGUCGCCUCCUAAAGUGUAGCGGAGGCGCUCAAAGCUUGGCUCAGCAUGGAUGGAAAUCAUGCAAUGAGUGUAAACGUAUAAGCCAAGUUGACUGCGAGACCGACGGGUCGAGCAGGUACGAAAGUAGGAGUUAGUGAUCCGGUGGUAUGUGAGUGGAAAUGCCAUCGCUCAACGGAUAAAAGCUACCCUGGGGAUAACAGGCUGAUCUCCCCCAAGCGUCCACAGCGACGGGGAGGUUUGGCACCUCGAUGUCGGCUCGUCGCAUCCUGGGGCUGUAUUCGGUCCCAAGGGUUUGGCUGUUCGCCAAUUAAAGCGGCACGCGAGCUGGGUUCAGAACGUCGUGAGACAGUUCGGUCCCUAUCUGUUGCGGGCGUAAGAGAUUUGAAGGGAGCUGUCCUUAGUACGAGAGGACCGGGAUGGACUGACCGCUGGUGCACCAGUUGUCCUGCCAAGGGCAUAGCUGGGUAGCUACGUCGGGACGAGAUAAACGCUGAAGGCAUCUAAGCGUGAAACUCCCCCUAAGAUAAGAUCUCUCAUCCUGAAAAGGAGUAAGGCUCGUCGUAGACUAUGACGUUGAUAGGUCAGGGGUGUAAGCACGGUAACGUGUGUAGCUGACUGAUACUAAUAAGCCGAGGGCUUGACCU
This 1740-nucleotide ribosomal RNA is filed under the name human gut metagenome. RNAcentral's name for it is "bacterial LSU rRNA". It matches the Rfam family "Bacterial large subunit ribosomal RNA", at positions 1104 to 2925 of the family's 2925-position model. The record is from RNAcentral.